ACAGCAGCGUCUCCUCACCCGCAGGCUGAGGCUUACUGACACUUUUCACCCUCUUGGCCCCACAUGUGUGGCCCACUGGAGGGGAGCAAUGGCUGGCAGAAAACAACCAGGUCCGGAGGUCAGGGGCUGGGUUCUGGCCUGGCCCUGCAUCUGGCCAGCACGUGAUCUGGAACUGUUUUGUGGGCCUCGGUUUUCCUUCCAGAAGCAGAGAAUCAUUCUCCAUUUCUGAGUGGGGCAAGGGGGCUCUGACCUCUCCCCUGGGGCUGCCUUUUCCCUUUAUUUCCAAGCAGCAUCACAAGGGCCCACCAAAGUGGCAUCUGGAAGUAUGUGUUUCCAACAAAUCCAGUCUUUUUUUUUUCUUUUCCCCUCAUUGGCUUACCAUGAUAUGGUAGAAAUUUAUUCAGGCCUGCCUUCAAAAUUCCCCUUGAUUGAGUCUUUGGUGGAUCUUACAAAGACUUUGGUGAGUUGCAGAGUCUCUCAGUACAUCACCUGGAUGGAGGUAGAGGGGCAGAGGGCCACGAUGGGCAGGAUUGGGUCUCUGGGAGAACAGAAGGGCCAAGGUAAAGCAGAAAGGAGCAGGGAGGUCCUCGGCAGGGGAGCCAUCUGGAAGAUGUCAACUUGCAGGCCCUGAGGUCUGCCCUGGGCUGAGUUCCUGGGUCUCCUACUGGAGAGAUCAGCCAAAAGACACCUCUGUUCCCCCAAGCACUCUUUGCUUUCUGCUUUCUCUCUGGUCUUGGAAUUUUCAGUUCAACUGGGAUCUUACAGGAAAACAAUUCCAGGCCAAUUCCUGACUUCCCACCCUAGAAGGGAAUGUUGGAGCCCUUGGCCUGUGGUUCCCUCUCCCUCCUUCUUGGGAGCUGGGCCCCGGGGGAAAUGGUGGGAAGUUCCAUAUUUGGAUGGCCCAGAGUGCUGGAAUGAGAUGGAGAUCUCCAGGGCAGGACAAGAGGGUCCUUAUUUAGUCUGAAGUCUCCAACCUGGGGCUUAGGGUGAGAGAGGAGCUGGCAGAGGGAUGGACCCUUUAAAGGCAAGAGGAUGGCAGUUGCAAGGAAAGGAGCUGAGAGCUUCUCCGAGGGUGGUAAAAGGCGUGGCUUCUCCAGUGGUAUCCCUCGGUUUCUAUGUUCAGGACAUGUUUGAGGAUGCGUCCAACUGAGAUGCUGAACUCCAAUAUUUAAGGAAUAUGAUCAAACUGAAUUAGGAUUAUAGGACAAGUAAAGAAAAAGAAUGCAGUUGAAUCUCUUGAGAGGAGUAUGUGAAAGUUAGAAGCAAUGAUCUCUUGAAGCUGGGGCCUGUCCCUCCCACUUCCUUGUCUCCCGAUGGUACUAACUUUAUAUAAUACUAAUAAGAGUAGCCAACAUUUAUUAUGCACUUGUUGUAUGCAGGGUAUUGUGCCAAGUACUUCACAUGUCAGAUCUCAUUUGAUUCUCACCACCAGCUUUUGGGGCAGACAUUAUUAUGUUCAUUUACAAAUGAGGACACAGAGGCUGGAAAGGCAAAAAAACUUGCAAAUGGCUGGAAAGGGAGAGAGCUGGGAUUUGAUUCUGGGCAGUCUGACUCUUCAUGACCCCAGGCUCUGAACUGCUUUAACUUUAUUUUUAUUUUUAAAAGUUUUAUUUAUUUAUUUAUUUAUUUUUAAAUAAAUAGAGACAGGGUUUUGCCAUCUUCCCCAGGCUGAUCUCAAACUCCUGGGCUCAAGUAAUCCUCCAGCCUUGGCUUCCCACUGCUGGAACUACAGGCAUGAGCCACUGCACCCAGCCCAAACUGUUUUAUUCUGGAUAGCUGGGCAUAGCUCCCCUCUGAGAUUAACAGGACGAAAUAUGAGGCCCACAGCCUUUCCAGCUCAGACCAUUGCAAUCCCUAGUUCCUUCCGUUCUAUUCUCUCUUACCCCAGGAGUCAGGAAGUUCUUCUCAGUGUCUGACCCUCACUUCUUCCUGUGGUAAAGUGAUUUCUGAGAUUAGAAACUUCAAAUCCUCUUGUGAUUAGCAUGAGCUGCAUCCCAUUUCAAAGCCCACCAUGUUGGGCACUUAAUAAAUGUUAAACAUUCCUUAUGGGGUAUCACAUCACCUGCAUCUCCCCCCAUUGGCUCCCUGCCAGCAUGCACAGAUAGUCUCUUCUGGAUUCCACUGUUGAAGGCAGGAAAACUCUGCCCUUCUUCUUUUCUUUUUCCUCCUCCCCCAUUGGGACAUAUGGUCUCUGUUGAGGGCAGAGUGAGGAACCUCAACAGGCGUCCUGUGGCUUGGGGUCAGCCUAGGCUGUUGCCUCUGAACCCUGUGUUGCACUGCAGCCUGAGGAAGUUUAGGGGUGCAGAGGACCAAAGGAGACACAUAUGGAUUCCUGGAAGAGGAAUUGGUGUUGGCCAGCAUUUCUAGAGUUGGAUAUGCAGAUCCCAUCCCUCUGUCCUCCCACCCAUUGGCCAUCCCGCCUGCCUCCAUUUGUAGACAGUUCCUGAAAGAUCAGGAUAUUAUGUAUGCAAAGAGGCCAGAGAGCUUCAGCUGUAGGAAGCUUGCAAUGAGCAAGAAGGUCACCCCAGCUUCAACUCACUGCGUCCGCUUCCCCUUCCCCUCCACAGUGGUCUGCAAGAAGAAUCUGGACAGUACCACUGUGGCCGUGCAUGGUGAGGAGAUCUACUGCAAGUCCUGCUACGGCAAGAAGUAUGGGCCCAAAGGCUAUGGCUACGGGCAGGGCGCAGGCACCCUCAGCACUGACAAGGGGGAGUCGCUGGGUAUCAAGCACGAGGAAGCCCCUGGCCACAGGCCCACCACCAACCCCAACGCAUCCAAAUUUGCCCAGAAGAUUGGUGGCUCCGAGCGCUGCCCCCGAUGCAGCCAGGCAGUCUAUGCUGCGGAGAAGGUGAUUGGUGCUGGGAAGUCCUGGCAUAAGGCCUGCUUUCGAUGUGCCAAGUGUGGCAAAGGCCUUGAGUCAACCACCCUGGCGGACAAGGAUGGUGAGAUUUACUGCAAAGGAUGUUAUGCUAAAAACUUCGGGCCCAAGGGCUUUGGUUUUGGGCAAGGAGCUGGGGCCUUGGUCCACUCUGAGUGAGGCCACCAUCACCCACCACACCCUGCCCACUCCUGCGCUUUUCAUCGCCAUUCCCUUCCCAGCAGCUUUGGAGACCUCCAGGAUUAUUUCUCUGUCAGCCCUGCCACAUAUCACUAAUGACUUGAACUUGGGCAUCUGGCUCCCUUUGGUUUGGGGGUCUGCCUGAGGUCCCACCCCACUAAAGGACUCCCCAGGCCUGGGAUCUGACACCAUCACCAGUAGGAGACCUCAGUGUUUUGGGUCUAGGUGAGAGCAGGCCCCUCUCCCCACACCUCGCCCCACAGAGCUCUGUUCUUAGCCUCCUGUGCUGCGUGUCCAUCAUCAGCUGGCCAAGACACCUGAGGACACAUCUUGGCACCCAGAGGAGCAGCAGCAACAGGCUGGAGGGAGAGGGAAGCAAGACCAAGAUGAGGAGGGGGGAAGGCUGGGUUUUUUGGAUCUCAGAGAUUCUCCUCUGUGGGAAAGAGGUUGAGCUUCCUGGUGUCCCUCAGAGUAAGCCUGAGGAGUCCCAGCUUAGGGAGUCACUACUGGAGGCAGAGAGGCAUGCAGGCGGGGUCCUAGGAGCCCCUGCUUCUCCAGGCCUCUUGCCUUUGAGUCUUUGUGGAACGGAUAGCCUCCCACUAGGACUGGGAGGAGAAUAACCCAGGUCUUAAGGACCCCAAAGUCAGGAUGUUGUUUGAUCUUCUCAAACAUCUAGUUCCCUGCUUGAUGGGAGGAUCCUAAUGAAAUACCUGAAACAUAUAUUGGCAUUUAUCAAUGGCUCAAAUCUUCAUUUAUCUCUGGCCUUAACCCUGGGUCCUGAGGCUGUGGCCAGCAGAGCCCAGGCCAGGGCUCUGUUCUUGCCACACCUGCUUGAUCCUCAGGUGUGGAGGGAGGUAGGCACUGCCUCAGUCUUCAUCCAAACACCUUUCCCUUUGCCCUGAGACCUCAGAAUCUUCCCUUUAACCCAAGACCCUGCCUCUUCCACUCCACCCUUCUCCAGGGACCCUUAGAUCACAUCACUCCACCCCUGCCAGGCCCCAGGUUAGGAAUAGUGGUGGGAAGAAGGGGAAAGGGCUGGGCCUCACCGCUCCCAGCGACUGAAAGGACAACACUAUCUGGAGCCACCCACUGAAAGGGCUGCAGGCAUGGGCUGUACCCAAGCUGAUUUCUCAUCUGGUCAAUAAAGCUGUUUAGACCAG
RNAcentral lists this small RNA (4218 nucleotides) under Pan troglodytes (chimpanzee). RNAcentral describes it as "retained intron". Lineage: Eukaryota; Metazoa; Chordata; Mammalia; Primates; Hominidae. The record is from RNAcentral.